CCAGGAGCUUGCUACAAGUGCCAGAAAUCUGACCACCAGGCCAAGGAAUGCCUGCAGCCCAGGAUUCCUCCUAAGCCAUGUCCCAUCUGUGCGGGACCCCACUGGAAAUCGGACUGUUCAACUCACCUGGCAGCCACUCCCAGAGCCCCUGGAACUCUGGCCCAAUGCUCUCUGACUGACUCCUUCUUGGCUUAGUGGCUGAAGACUGACGCUGCCUGAUCCCCCCGGAAGCCCUGUAGACCAUCACGGAUGCCGAGGUUUAGGUAACUCUCACAGUGGAAGGACCAGAAAAUCUUUCUCUUCCAGUCAGUGUCAUUCAUUUAUGACCAGCGGUUGAAUCCAGUCAUAAAAUCUGAAGCUCCUGGGUACCUCUACAUCACUGGGCCUAUGAUACACUGUUUCAGAACGUACUUACACAUGGGGUGGGACGAUUUUCUUAACUAAUACUUGUGACUACUCCACAGCAAAGCUGGAAACAAAAGUAUUGGGUGAGCUAUCUUCCAAAAUCUGGAGAUGGUUUCGGAGAGAGUUUCAUUGCCAUAAAUUUAAAGGGGGAUUGGAUUUACUCAGGAAAAAUUACAAGUGAGCGUAGGAGAUAAACUAGUAAAUGCCAUAUUUGGCCCACCAGGCACAAAGAAGGGUUAUAAUUGGCUCCUUUAAGUCCUAUAUGCAGAUAUCAAAUCCCUAUACUUGCUCUUUAUUGCAUAGAAUAAAUUUACCUCACUCCUUACUUUGAAACAUGAAAUGAGGAUCAAAUUAUAGUUUCAAUUAUUGCAAAUAGUUGUACAAAUGAAAAGAUUGUCUUAUUGUGGGCAUUACACAAACCCACCAAGGAAUAAGUAAUCUUUAAAUUCUAUGAAGUGAUUUGUAAUCUGAUACAGUAAGAAAAAAAAAUCUCAGACUUUGAUUAAUUACCACCACGCUCACCGCUAUAUCACUGUCCAAUGUCAUCAUAAUUUCACUGCCACUUAAAACUACACUUCAGCCAUAGAAAGCCAAAAAAUUAGGCACUGGUGACCUGUCCAAAAGAAAAAAAAAAAAAAAGGAACAGGAAGUGGAGAAAUACCACCUCAUAAAUUUCACCCAACCACAUUUAACAGCCACCUGGAGUUCACACCAACUCACUUGGAUCUCCUAUGACGAAUAUGCCUCUAUCACAAUGUUGAGGCCACUGAGUUUCUCAUGUACUAAAAUUUGGCUUAAUGUGGUUACUCUUUCUCUCUGGGAGUUUUAAGAACAACUUCAUGGUCAUAAUAUUCUCUUUAAUAAAUAUGAUUCAUCUGAAUGUUAGAUUCCCGUUUAACUACCACAAUCUUCAGAAGAAAAGUUAUAGCUCUUACUGACUUCAGAAGCUGCUCUGGAUGACUUUAUAAUUUAUCAUCCAAAUGGAAGACGUUUGAGAGCGAAAGGAUACACUAAAAUAAUUAAAUGUAUACAAUUUUUGGAAAAUGUUUAUUGCUUAAAAAUAUUGUUUAUUGUAUGAAAUUUUGUAUAUUUAUAUUCAUGUGUCUGUAAAAACAAUUCUAUUCAAAAAUUACUUUAAAAAUUCUUUAAAGAUACAAAUAUAUUUGUAUACUUUAAAACAGGUUGAAAUAUUGAUUAUAUAAACUAUUAGAAAGUUACAUAAGCAGAAAGAAUAUUACCUGCACAUAUUUAUGUGCUUUAAUCUGCUCCUUAGCUGAAUCUGUCUCUAAUGUGUUUUUUAAAAAAUAUUUUUAAAUUAUUUUUAUUUUUCCUAUAAAAUUGUCUGAAAUAUUUGAAAUUUGAAAAUUAAAAUUCUUCAUUUAAAAAUUUGAAGUCACUGAUAUCCUUACUCACUAGACACAUCUUUGUAAAAGAACCAAAAAAAUAAAAUAUCUGUAAAUGUCCCAAGGGAACUGCUUAUCUCCAAAUAAAUUCUGCUAAAUGUGAUAUUAUCUCAAUUUCAAUUUAUUUUAAGCUGAAAUGCAUAAAUGUUUCAGCCCAAAUAUUUUCAUGGGCACUGCCUCUUUUGCCUCCAUGUAGCACAGCUUCUUCCAACA
This 2021-nucleotide long non-coding RNA is filed under the name Homo sapiens (human). RNAcentral's name for it is "HSALNT0112944". The record is from RNAcentral. Lineage: Eukaryota; Metazoa; Chordata; Mammalia; Primates; Hominidae.